This 6207-nucleotide long non-coding RNA is filed under the name Gossypium barbadense (sea-island cotton). Its description in RNAcentral is "long non-coding RNA (GBAR_LNC019324)". The record is from RNAcentral. Lineage: Eukaryota; Viridiplantae; Streptophyta; Magnoliopsida; Malvales; Malvaceae.
CUUGGAAAAAUUCUGCUUUGGCCCUCCUUCUUUGCUUCUUUCUUCAAUCUAGCCCAAUUGUUUCCUUUUUCUUCUAUUUAGCCCCAAAUUGCACCCCUGCACAAAAUUCAACAAAAACAUGGAAAAAUUAGUGAUGCACUCUCAUAAAUUAACCAAUUUAAUUACAUAAAAUACGUAACUUUGGCAUUUAAUCACUCUUCCUACUCCAUUCUCUGUCAAUUUCUUUUGUUUUGCCUUUCGUCUUCUUCUUUUUACUUUUGUGUUGAAUACCAACUCUGUAGUUCCGUCCCUCCUAUAUCGUUCGUGUGAUAUCGGUAAGUUGGUGAGUAUCAGCCUUAUUAUUUUAAACGUUUUCUGGUUAAAUGGUUAAACAAGGGUUUUGCGUUUGGUGCUAGAAACUAAUCAAUGGGUUGUUGAUCGUCCAUCGAUGUUCUAGGCGUGUGGAAUUUCUGUGCUUGUUCGAGGGUAAGGUUUUUGACGGCUAUUUGUUGAAUAACUCGUGGUAAUCUCAUUUAAGGUCUAUUAGUAUCACUAAAUCGAGCUUUGGUUUAUCGAUUUUAGGUUCUGUAGUACUCAUGGUAGAGUUAGUAGUGAAAUCGUAUUAGGUGUGUAAACACAACUUUGAAAACAGAAAUCGGUGAAAUGCCAAAGAAUGUGAUUGCCGACGCCACACGGGCGUGCAGUCGCCCAUGUAGUAUGGCGUGUGGUCGUCGAGGUUGGCCAUGUGCGAUUCAUGGGCUAGGCCAAAUUAGGCCGUAUGGGCCGUACUGGCACGUGGGUCCCACACGGUUAACCACACAAGCGUGUGGGAAUAUUGGGCCAGACUAUGUGAACCACACGGCCAAGGCCAUUUUGGGCCGUGUGAGCCACACGAGUGUGUGGGCCUACAUGGGUUUGCACCAUGGGCCUGUGGGCUUAUUUUCACUGUUUGACUGCUAAGGUUGCACGUGUCUCCUAAGUCGACUGUGAACCUACUGUAGGAUCGGUAAGUUUACCUAGACCUCUAAUUAACUGAAAUAAUUGAAAAUACUAUUAUAUGCCUAUAUGAGAUAGAUAUGUAUGUCUGUAUGAUGAGCAUGCUAAAUACCCUAUACUUAUUAUACAUGAUAUCAUGACAUGUCUUUAUGAUGCAUUGUAUUGGGUGGGGAUUGAUAUUGAUUGGAUGAAAUGUACUGAAAGGCUUCAAACCUAACUUACUGGCAACUCAACUGUAACUACUGUCUAGUGCUGCAUUCGGUACUAUUUGGAGUGUAGGGAUGGGUGGGUUGAUUAUAUCCCCACAUGGAGUGUAGGGUUGGACGGAGAUGGAGUGUAGAGACUGGUUAGGUAGGAUUUUAUAAUUGCAUAACUGUCACUGUUACUGUACUGUGAUGGGCUAAGGCCCUAAUGCUUACUGAUACUGAAAAGGGUUUAGGCCCAAACUGAGAUUAUCUGUUAUUGUUUGUUUGUUUGCAUGGGGAUUACACACUAAGUUCACGUAAACUCACCCCUUCUGUUUAAUCUGUACAGGUAAUCCCUAGACAUAGGCAGAUUGAUGUGGCGGAAGACUCAGUGGUGGCCACACGACUCCUUUUUGCUAUUUGAUACUUAUUUACGAUUUUUAUUUUUAUUUUUGGGUAUUUUUUUGUAAUAAUGGUCUCUCUGGAUUUUUACCUAAAAUUUCGAUUUUAUACUGUUUUCUGUUUAUAUCUGCUAGAAAUAGGAGAAACUCAAGUUUUCAAAAGAGAUGAAUAUUUUAUCAAAAUACCAUGUACACACAAAUUAUUUUUAAAAAGCUUCCGCAAAGUAUAGCGUUUUAGAAAUGAAUCACGAUUCGAGAAUUAAUGAAAGAUAAUGAUAAGUUUUAAACAGAAAAUAGUUUUAGCAAUGAUACGGUUUUCAAACGCAUUUCCAUGUGACAUCGCCAGAUUCGGCCAUAACGGCCAAGCCGAAUUUGGGGUGUUACAAAGAGACCAUGCUAUUUUGAACCAUUUCGAAUAUAUAUCUAAUACUUUAAGUACACCUAAAUCACAUACUUAAAACUUUCGUACACAUAUCCAAUCCCUUAACCACAUAUUCGAUCAUCACAAUUAAUCCUCCAAAAAUAAAUCAUGUCAAUUUCAUCAUGAACUAUACCUAAAAAUUCAUUUUUUUCCAAACCUAUAUAAUAUAUGCAUGCUCAUCCAUUACAUAUCUAUCAUUACUAUAUUACUAAGCUAAAUUAUACAAUUAACCACCAUUCAAAAAUUCUUUUCACAUCUCAUACAUAUAUAUAUACCAAUAACCUACUUUCUUAAUUAAGUUCAUAUUCUAGCCAUAAUGCACAAGCUUAAACAUUAUAACAAAUCUAUAUAAUCAAAUACCACACAUAUAUAAAUACCAUGAAAUAUAUUUUCAUAAUAUACUAAUACCAUAACCGAACACAUAAGUAUUAAUAUCAAGAUUAAGCCAUUUUUGCAUGGCUAAUUAUAUAUACACACUUUAUGAAUAAACAAGACAAUACUAGCCUAUACAUGUCAUAUGUUCAAAAUUUCAAAUUUUCAAAAUACCGAGAUAGAGAUCGAUAGUGUGAUAGACUUCCUUGAUGACUCCCGAACUCAUAACAAGAUUCCAAAAUCUAUAAAACAAUAAAUGAACAAGCACACAAUAAGCUUAAAUAGCUUAGUAAGUUGUAAGCACAUAAUUUUCAAACAACUCAUAAAAUUACACCAGUAGGCCAAGUUUUACUAUUCAUGUACACAUACAUAUAAAAUCAUUUUUAUACGAUUAAUUCAUCUUUUCAUGUUAUAUAUAUACUACCUACCUUUACUUUCAAUUUCGUAUAACUUAACAUACCUGAAUUAUUUAACUCAAACUCACAUUCGGUUUUACCAUAGGAUUUCCCCUUAUAUCUUUUGGAUUCAGAGAUAUGAUACUCGAUCGGCUCAAAAAGCUCGUACAAUGCCAACGUCCCAGACGUGGUCUUACAUGUAAUCUAACAACGAUGCCACUAUCCCAGACAGGGUCUUACACGUAAUCAUAUACGACACCAAUAUCCCAGACAUGGUCUUACACGUAAAUCUCAAAUCGAGGCCAAAGUCCCAAACGUGGUCUUACACGAUGUCACAUUUCAGCAUUUCUGUAGUUCUAUAUAACUUUCGGAUGUCGUAAAUCAACCAAUUAAAACUCAUUAUUAAUCAUCAUUUGUCAAAUACAAUUUGGCAUAAUAGGGUACACAUACACAUUUAGAUUCGGCUAUACAUAAAAUAAAUACAGUAAAUUUAACUUCAAUAAUUUACUUACGAACUUACCUCGGAUGAAGACGAACUGACCGAGACGAUUAUUCGAUAACUUUUGAUUUCCCCCGAUCCAAAUCCGAUUUCUUCUUUUCUUGAUAUGAUUUUAAUACAAAUUUGACUUGUUUAAUAACAUAUUCACUAAAAUUCAUUCAAAAAUACAUAAUUUGGGUAUUUUGCAUUUUAGCCCCUAACAUUUCAUAUUUUCUCAAUUUAGUCUCUAUUUCACAAAACAUAAAAUACACAAAAUUCAUCAACACCAUGCCUUAGCCGAAUCUUAGUAUGGUCCAUAGCAAUCCAUAUAUUUCUUUUAUUUCACAUUCAAACCCCUAAAUUUUCAAAUUUCAAAAACAAAUCUCUAAUUUGGAUUUUUAUCAAAAAUUACUUAAUUAAACAUGAUAAUCAAACAUCAAAGAUUUAUUUGUCAUCAUCAAACAACAAUUUCAUCACAUUAUCAACAAUGGCACUUCUCAAAAUCAUCAUUAAUUCCAAAAAUUAAAACAUGGGCUAGGUAAUACACAAAGCAACGAUCUCAAAAACGUAAAAAUUAUCAAAAAUUAAACAAAGAACAUACCUAAUUUGCAUGGCCAUAUUAUGUUUUUUUUAAUUUAAUUACAAGUUAUUUACUAUUUACUAUUUACUAUUUUAACCUUACUAAAAAUCAUAAUAUAAGUCACCUAACUCAUGGACAUAAAUGUUCAUUAAGCUUAUAAUGGUAUAAUAACCCUUUAAGGACUUCUCAUGUAACACCCCCUAACCCCAAACCAUCGCCGAAACAGGGUUAUGGAGCAUUACCAGACAUAUCGGAUAACUUAUAACUAAUUCACAAAUAAAUAACAAACAUGGCAUACUUUAAUCAUUUUCAUUUCAUAUUUGUAUAAAUUAUGUCAUUUUAGUUCCAUUUCAUACUGAUAACAAUUUUAAACAUCAUUCUACAACCGUAAUAACAAAACUCUUAUACUUAACCUAUACAUCACCUAGGUACAUGCCACAUUAUCAAAACAAAGGUACAUCACUAAAAUUUCUCUGAGGUCGAGAUUGCUCUGGAUGUUGGACCGGACAUUGGCUUUCUACUAACCUGUGCACGGAAACAACCGUACGUUGAGUAUAGGUAUACUCAGUGGUAUUACCAUAAUUCAAAUUAAUAACAUUAAUCGAUAAAUUAUAUACAUUUAAUUUAUGUCUACAAUUAUUCAUUAAUUAUCUCAUACUUUAAAUCAACUUGAUAAUUAAUAACAAUAAGCAAUAUUUCAAAUCUUGUAUUUAAUUGUACUCGUACCUUAUUUCACUAUCUUAAUUCCAUUGGAUUUUUCACAUCUUAUUCCAAUAGUUCAUUUCAAUUCAUAUAGAAUUCAUUCAAUUUAUCACUAUAUUCAAUAUCAAUUCUAUUGCAAUUCUUACUCACUAAUAUCAUCUAACAAAAAUUUAUUCUUAAUCACAUCAUGAACUUUGGGUUCAUAUCUUCAAAUCUCAUAUCUCGAUUUCCAAUUCACAUAUCAAUUCACAAUUUCACUUUCUCAUUUCUUUCCAUAGCUCAAUCAAUCACACUUAUUCAAAUUUUCUCAUUUCAAUUAUUUACCCCUAUUAACAAGACUCGGACCUUGGCGGAUACACGGAUUCAACUAAACACACCAGAAUGGCACUCAGUGCCUCAUCGGAUUGUUCAAAGCAAUAAAGUGACACCUAGUGUCUCAUCGGCAGAGUCGAAGAAAGUUGGUACCCAGUACCUCAUCGAAACUAUUCGAAGAAAUAUAGUGACACCCAGUGUCUCAUCGACUCAAGGUCGAAGAAUCCCUGAACUCUUCCAAUCUUAUGGCAUACCAACUAUAUCCGAUUCAGCCCGACUAGUUAAUAGGGUAUUCAGAUCAUUUUUUUUCUAUUUCAAAUUCACUUUCGAUUCAAUCACAAUUCAUUUCAAAUUCACUUUUCACUUUCUAAUCAAUAUACAAUUCAAUACCAACACAUUUUUCCACUUUCCAAUCAAUGUACCAUCAAAUGCUCAUAUAUAUUCAUACUUCAUUUCAAUUUCAUUCAAUUCACAAUUUCUCAUGUUCACAAUUCAAAUCAAUUUCUCAAUCCAAUAUGCAUUUCAAUAUCACAUUAAUUCUUUUAAUUCAAAUCAUAUCACUAGUAAUUUCCCUUCAAUUCACAUACAAUUCAAUAUCAUUUAAUUCAAUAUCGAUAUUCACCUUAUUUUUAUUUACUAAACAUAUUAUUCAAAAUUUAACAAUUGCUAUUAAUAAAUUCAAUACCAAUACGUAUUUAUCAUUCAAUUCAAUCGUGAUACUUACCUCAAUUUGCUUAUCAUGUAUAUUAAUUUAAAUUUUAACAAUUAAUAAUUAAAUUUGAAUUAUGGUAAUACUAACCGAAAUUUCUCUCGAGUCACUCCUUGUUCACCUUCUCCUUUCCUUUCUCAGACAAUGACUCUUGCACGACAUUAGCUACAUAAUUAAAAAAUUAAAAUCAUUAAUACACAAUUUCAUUAAAAUAUUUCCAUUUAUACCUAAAAUUUACCUAAAUUCUAAUUUAAUCUCUUCUCAAUACUAAUUUUAUUUUCCCAAUCUAACUCCAUAUUCUCUCUUAAUUAUUACUAUAAACUCAUUUUAACUCUUCAUUUUCACCAUAAAUCCCUAAUUUCAAAAUUCUCUCAAUUUAAUCCCUAUUAAUUCAAAACUUAUGUUUUAUUUUACAAAUUAACAUUUUACUAACUUUUAACUUGAAAUUCAAUCAAUUUAAUCCCUAAUUCAUCAAUUAAUUCAACAUGAAUAACAUCUAAAAAUUUACUAACUUUCAAAAUUUCAACUUAAAUCAAGUAGUAUUUUGUUUUAGGAUUCUAAAAAUAUCAAAAUUACAAGAAAAGGGGCUAAAUUAACUUACCAAUUGAGCUUGGAACUUCAAAACCCCAAUUCUCCUUUUUUUUUUCUUUUCUUUCUCCUUUCUCCUUCUCUGUUUC